CAACUUGAGAGUUUGAUCCUGGCUCAGAACGAACGCUGGCGGCAGGCUUAACACAUGCAAGUCGAGCGCAUCCUUCGGGGUGAGCGGCAGACGGGUGAGUAACGCGUGGGAACGUACCCUUAUCUUCGGAAUAGCUCCGGGAAACUGGAAUUAAUACCGAAUGUGCCCUUCGGGGGAAAGAUUUAUCGGAUAAGGAUCGGCCCGCGUU
Molecule: ribosomal RNA, 208 nt
Filed under: Rhizobium sp. CSW-27
Lineage: Bacteria; Pseudomonadati; Pseudomonadota; Alphaproteobacteria; Hyphomicrobiales; Rhizobiaceae
Description: partial 16S ribosomal RNA
Rfam family: Bacterial small subunit ribosomal RNA
Source: RNAcentral